Molecule: ribosomal RNA, 497 nt
Filed under: uncultured bacterium
Lineage: Bacteria
Description: bacterial SSU rRNA
Rfam family: Bacterial small subunit ribosomal RNA
Source: RNAcentral
GAUGAACGCUAGCUACAGGCUUAACACAUGCAAGUCGAGGGGCAGCGGGAUUGAAGCUUGCUUCAAUUGCCGGCGACCGGCGCACGGGUGAGUAACGCGUAUCCAACCUUCCGUACACUCAGGGAUAGCCUUUCGAAAGAAAGAUUAAUACCUGAUGGUAUGAUGAGAUCGCAUGGUAUCAUCAUUAAAGAUUUAUCGGUGUACGAUGGGGAUGCGUUCCAUUAGGUAGUAGGCGGGGUAACGGCCCACCUAGCCUACGAUGGAUAGGGGUUCUGAGAGGAAGGUCCCCCACAUUGGAACUGAGACACGGUCCAAACUCCUACGGGAGGCAGCAGUGAGGAAUAUUGGUCAAUGGACGAGAGUCUGAACCAGCCAAGUAGCGUGAAGGAUGAAGGUCCUACGGAUUGUAAACUUCUUUAUAAGGGAUAAAACCUCCACGUGUGGGAGCUUGUAUGUACCUUAUGAAUAAGCAUCGGCUAACUCCGUGCCAGCAGCCG